Molecule: ribosomal RNA, 456 nt
Filed under: uncultured bacterium
Lineage: Bacteria
Description: bacterial SSU rRNA
Rfam family: Bacterial small subunit ribosomal RNA
Source: RNAcentral
UACGGGAGGCAGCAGGUGGGGAAUAUUGCACAAUGGGCGAAAGCCUGAUGCAGCUAUGCCGCGUGUAUGAAGAAGGCCUUAGGGUUGUAAAGUACUUUCAUCGGGGAGGAAAAACAAAACUAAUAAUUUUAUUUCUUGACGUUACCCGAAAAAGAAGCACCGGCUAACUCCGUGCCAGCAGCCGCGGUAAUACGGAGGGUGCUAGCGUUAAUCAGAAUUACUGGGCGUAAAGAGCACGUAGGUGGUUUUUUUAAGUCAGAUGUGAAAUCCCUGGGCUUAACCUGGAACUGCAUUUUGAAACUGAAAUACUAGAGUAUCGUAGAGGGAGGUAGAAUUCUAGGUGUAGCGGUGAAAUGCGUAGAUAUCUGGAGGAAUACCUGUGGCGAAAGCGGCCUCCUAAACGAAUACUGACACUGAGGGUGCGAAAGCGUGGGGAGCAAACAGGGAUUAGAUACC